UACGGAGGGUGCAAGCGUUUAUCCGGAUUCACUGGGUUUAAAGGGUGCGUAGGUGGGCAGGUAAGUCAGUGGUGAAAUCUCCGGGCUUAACCCGGAACUGCCGUUGAUACUAUCUGUCUUGAAUGUAGUGGAGGUGAGCGGAAUAUGUCAUGUAGCGGUGAAAUGCUUAGAUAUGACAUAGAACAUCGAUUGCGAAGGCAGCUCGCUACACUAUGAUUUGACACUGAGGCACGGAAAAGCGUGGGGAUCAAACAGGAU
This 258-nucleotide ribosomal RNA is filed under the name uncultured bacterium. Its description in RNAcentral is "partial 16S ribosomal RNA". It matches the Rfam family "Bacterial small subunit ribosomal RNA", at positions 524 to 778 of the family's 1533-position model. The record is from RNAcentral.